CCACGCCCGCGCCUCCUCGGGUUCUCCUCCCCACUCCACCUCGCGCUCCCUCUCGGCCUCUCUCCCCCCUCCUCAGAUUCGCCCCAUCCGAACGCUCCCGUGGCCAUGGUCGUCGGGUAGCCGAGGCCACCUUCCUCAUCGCACCGCACCGUCGUGUCCAUCAGCUCCACCGACGUCUUCUUCGUCUACCUCGCCACUGGAUCGGAGACGGGAGGCCACCUCGUCGACGCCCGUACCAACUUCCUCCUCCUCGGCCACCACCGCCAUCACCGUCGAUUCCGGCUACCCCGCGCCUCCCCCGAGCCCACGCUUGCACAACUACAGGCUCGCGGUGAGCCUCCGCUUCCUUCCCCCUCUCUGUUUCAUCCUGCCGACGAGGUCCUGGGGACCCAGGCAAGCUCGUGUGCCCCGUAGUCGCCGAUCCGUCGAGCUCCGCCCUCUGACGGUCACCGUUAUCGCGCCUGACUCCGGCCACCGCUCCCUCCCCAUGCCCGCCCUNNNNNNNNNNNNNNNNNNNNNNNNNNNNNNNNNNNNNNNNNNNNNNNNNNNNNNNNNNNNNNNNNNNNNNNNNNNNNNNNNNNNNNNNNNNNNNNNNNNNNNNNNNNNNNNNNNNNNNNNNNNNNNNNNNNNNNNNNNNNNNNNNNNNNNNNNNNNNNNNNNNNNNNNNNNNNNNNNNNNNNNNNNNNNNNNNNNNNNNNNNNNNNNNNNNNNNNNNNNNNNNNNNNNNNNNNNNNNNNNNNNNNNNNNNNNNNNNNNNNNNNNNNNNNNNNNNNNNNNNNNNNNNNNNNNNNNNNNNNNNNNNNNNNNNNNNNNNNNNNNNNNNNNNNNNNNNNNNNNNNNNNNNNNNNNNNNNNNNNNNNNNNNNNNNNNNNNNNNNNNNNNNNNNNNNNNNNNNNNNNNNNNNNNNNNNNNNNNNNNNNNNNNACGCCCGCAGCCCCCGCACUUGCCCUGUGCCUUCCCUCCCGGCUGCUUGCCUCGUCGCCGCACGCCGCGCGCCCCUCGGCUCCGCUGCCCCCUGCCGCGCCCCAACUGCCCGUACCCCUCGGAGGCCACCUGCACCACAGGCCGCGUCGGCCUGCCUCGCCUGCUAUUGUUGCUCCCGCCGCGCACGUGCCGUCGCUGCUCGUCGUGUCCGACCCGCCCCUGACCUCGCUCGCCUCGGCUCCGCCGCAUCCCGCUCCUCCUCGCCGGGCCUUUCCCCUUCGCAUCGCUCCCUUGCUGCUCGCUGCCUACAACUGCUGCUCUGCGUGUGCUGCUGCUUCAGUUACUGUAGCGCUAGCUAGCUUUUCUAAUUCUACGAUGAGUAGGCCUUUAGACAACCCCUAAACUCUGGCAAAACAAUUGUUAACAGGACUAAAAAAAUAUGGGAAGGUAGUAUACUUGACAAACUCUAUUUUAUUCCACUGGAUCAAAUACAUUUGAUGUAUGGUUUAAGUCCUAUAAAAAUCACAAAAUGCUAUCUUCUGAUAACAACAAACAGAUUUAACCUCUAGCAUUGCGUGUUGUGUGCUGUGUGUGUAUGCAGCGUGGUGUGUGUGAGUGUGCCGUGUGAGUGCACGUGUGUGUGAGUGUGUGUGCGGCCGGCCCAAACCAGUUAGGUCUAAUUUAAUUAGCUAGAUUAGUCCUAGGAUUAGUUCUGCUGUUUAGUUAGUACUAUCAGUUUAGUGCUAGAUUAGCCUAAUAGCCUAUGACAUGUGGCCCCAUCCUAAUCUAGACACAAAUUUAAUUUAGAUGCCCAUGACAUGUGGGCCAUACCUCACCUUUUGACCAGUCAAAGUAAAAUGGUUGACCAGCCCCCCGGGUUCCACUGUCAUACACAUAGGUUAGGGUAACACUAUGUAACAAAUGCACAUUCUGUCUUCAAUUCAAUUUAAACAAUUCCAAAAAAUUCAGAAAAUGAAUUAAAACUUUCAAAAUUAAUAUAGAAUAAACCAUAGCUCGGAUGGGAAAACUUUGUACAUGAAAGUUGCUCAGAACGACGAGACGAAUCUGGAUACGUAGCCAGUUCGUCCGCCACACAUCCCUAGCAUAGCGAACAUGCAACUUUCCCCCUCCAGUUCAUUUGUCCGAAAACGCGGAACACCAGGAAUACUUUCCCGGAUGUUUCCCCCCUUCGCAAGUAUCACCUAGUACUACGUUAGGUCACCCCUAGCACCCCGUAUUGCCAUGUUAUGCUUUGUGAUGCUUUGUUUGCUCUAUUAUUUAUUGUGUUCCCCCUUCGUUACUUCUUUCCGGUAGACCCAGAGACCGCUGCCGGUACCCUUGUGAUCGACUACAUCGACGACGAACCUUUCUCUUGCCAGAGCAACCAGGUAAGCCCCCCCUUUGAUCACCAGAUAUCGCAUAUUCUUCCCUCUACUGCUUGCAUUAGAGUAGUGUAGCAUGUUACAGUUCGGUUAAUCCUAUUCUAUUGCAUAGCCUAUCAUUGUUGCUACAUCUGUUGAUACCUUACCUGCAUUCCUAAAUGCUUAGUAUAGGAUGCUAGUUUACCAUUAGUGGCCCUACAUUUUUGUUAGUCUGCCAUGCUAUACCAUCGGGCCGUGAUCACUCGGGAGGUGAUCACGGGUGUAUAUUAUACAUACAUAUACUAUACAGAUGGUGACUAAAGUCGGGUUGGCUCGUUGAGUAGCCGCAAGUGAUUUUGAGGGGGCUGGAAGGACAGGUGGCUUCAUCCCGGUAGAGGUGGGCCUGGGUUCCUGACGGCCCUCGACUGUUACUUUGUGGCGGAGCGACAGGGCAGGUUGAGACCACCUAGGAGAGAGGUGGGUCUGGCCCUGGUCGGCGUCCGUAGUUACUUCAAAAUAACACGCUUAACGAGAUCUUGGUAUUUGAUUGGAGUCUGGCCACUGGCCUAUACGCACUAACCAACUACGCGGGAAAGAUAUGGGCACUUGACGUCGUGGUAUCAAUCGAAGCCUUCGUGACGUCAGCGACUGAGCGGCGCGUGCCGGAUUGGAACGUAAGCCUACUUUUGUAUUAAGGGGGCUAGUUCUGCUUCCAGCCGCGUUCGCCACGUGCAGGUCUGCAAUGGGCGAUAGGCCCAGACCCCUGCGUGCAUAGGAUUUAGACCGACGUCCUGACCUCUUUGUUGUGUCUAGGUGGGGCUGCGACGUGUUGAUCUUCCGAGGCCAGGCAUGACCCAGGAAAGUGUGUCCGACCAAAUGGGAUCGAGCGUGUUGGGUUAUGUGGUGUACCCCUGUAGGGAAGUUUAUCUAUUCGAAUAGCCGUGUCCCUCGGUAAAAGGACGACCCGGAGUUGCACCUUGACCUUAUGACAACUAGAACUGGAUACUUAAUAAAACACACCAGAAAAGUUCCACAGACAACCCAGUGAUCGCUUUUCCACAGGGCGACGAGGGGAGGAUCGCCGGGUAGGAUUAUGCUAUGCGAUUCUACUUGGAGGACUACAAUCUACUCUCUUCUACAUGCUGCAAGACGGAGGCUGCCAGAAGCGUAGUCUUUGAUAGGACUAGCUAUCCCCCUCUUAUUCUGGCAUUCUGCAGUUCAGUCCAUCGAUAUUGCCUCUUUACACAUAUACCCAUGCAUAUGUAGUGUAGAUCCUUGCUUGUGAGUACUUUGGAUGAGUACUCACGGUUGCUUUUCUCCCCCUGUCCCCCCUUUCCUUUCUUCCCGGUUGUCGCAACCAGAUGCUAGAGCCCAGGAGCCAGAUGCCACCGUUAACGAUGACUCCUACUACACUGGAGGUGCCUACUACUACGUGCAGGCCGAUGAUGACGACCGGGAGUAGUUUAGGAGGAUCCCAGGCAGGAGGCCUGCGCCUCUUUUGAUCUGUAUCCCAGUUUGUGCUAGCCAUCUUAUGACAACUUGUUUAACUUAUGUCUGUACUCAGAUAUUGUUGCUUCCGCUGACUCGUCUAUGAUCGAGCACUUGUAUUUGAGCCCUCAAGGCUCCUGGCUUGUAUUAUGAUGCUUGUAUGACUUAUUUUAUUUGUAGAGGUGUGUUGUGAUAUCUUCCCGUGAGUCCCUGAUCUAGAUCGUACAUGUUUGCGUGUAUGAUUAGUGUACGACUAAAUCGGGGGCGUCACAAUUGAGGUGCUCAUCCAGAUGAACCAGGACACAAGCAGUAGUUCUCACGGUGCCACCUUAGCCGAUAGAGCGGAACGUAAGGUAGAAAAACACGGAAGCCGGGCAAACCCAGCUAUUGACCAAAGACAUGAUUCGGAGCUGAUGCAUAUAAGGCCAAACUCGCGACGCCGAACACUCCCGAAGGUAUUCGGACUUUACAACAUAUACUGGGCUGAUUACCGCCCUCGAUAAUGAUCCCUGAAUUUUCAGGUACAUGCAUAAAUUCGGCGUGACGAAACAACAGCUGUGGUAAGGGCAUAAAUCCCAAAAACACAUUGGAUGCUGCCCUUGUAACGUCCAUUUUAGAUCGGCGAAUAAUAAGUUUGCCAAUAACCCUCUUGGUCGUUUUAAGUACUAGGAGGGUGUGAGCCAACAAGAGACAAUAAAAAAAGGUUUAUAUAGGGUCUUAAUCUAAAAAGAAACCUUGGAACGGAUCCCUGCAGCACGUCUGCGCCUUUGUCUCCGUUGUGUUGUAUCCUGGAAGGGUAUAGCAUGAUAGGCAUCUGUAAAAAGAAAGAAAAACUCAGGUGAAAUAAUCUUUUGUGACCGUGCGUAACGUUGGUUAAACUUAAUGAAUCGUGAAAAUUCAAUUUCUUGAGUAUAAAUAGGAUCCAGCCGAACUAUGGAUUCUUUUCGUGCGGGCAGCCCCUAGCACCACAUAUGGGGGCAUAGCCGUUAGUCAAGCUCAGGUUUAUCUGGGCUGCUACAAAUAGUGGUGCGCCGAACACGUCUAGCCGUGUCCGUGGUCUCGACGACCGAUUAAUUACUCGGGUUGGAGAGGUCGGUCAGUGGUUCGGCUGCUAGAGCCACCACAUAUUCUUCCGCACGCAGGGAACGCUCUGUAUUUCCGCUAAUUGUGAUGACGCCGCAUGGACUGGACAUCUUAAGUUUAAGAUAAGCGUAUUGUGGAACUGCAUUGAAACGAACGAAGGCCGUUCUUCCGAGUAGUGCAUGGUAGCCGCUUCGGAAUGGAGCGAUGUCAAAGAUUAGUUCUUUGCUUCGGAAGUUGUCGGGAGAACCAAAUACAACCUCUAAUGUUUGAGAGCCCGUGCAGUGGGCCUCUACGCCUGGUAUUACUCUUUAAAGGUAGUACUGUUUUGGCUGAUUCUUGACGGGUCUAUCCCCAUCUUGCGGACAGUGUGGAUAUAUCACACUAAGCCUACUACCGCCGUCCAUGAGGACUCAGGUGAGAUGGUAUCCGUCAAUUAUUGGGUCGAGCAUCAAGGCAGCUAAACCUCUAUGCCGGAUACUAGUCGGAUGAUCUCUGGUGCCGCUGCGGGCCAACCAACUGUCCUCGCCCGCGCAAAAGUGUGUCAUGAGAGUUGUUAGGGCUGCCAUUGUCCUUGGCUUUUCCUGGCCGAGGUAUCUGGCAAGCCAUUCAUCCUGGAUAUUGCGUUUAAAAGCUGCUAGGGCUUCAGCGUCCGGACAGUCGACGAUUUGGUUCUUCUUUUUGAGAAAUCUGUUCCAAAGCUUACGGGCUGACUCUCCGGGCUGUUGGAUUAUGUGACUUAAAUCGUCUACAUCCGGAGGUCGGACAUAGGUCCCUUGAAAAUUAGCCCUGAAAGCGUCCUCAAGUUCCUCCCAACUUCCAAUUGAGUUUUCGGGGAGGCUUUUCAACCUGUGCCGAGUUGGUCCUUUCAACUUGAGGGGCAGGUAUUUGAUGGCGUGGAGAUCGUCUCUGCAAGCCAUGUGGAUGUGAAGAAUAAAGUCCUGGAUCCAGACUGCAGGGUCUGUUGUUCUGUCGUAUGCCUCGAUGUUUACGGGUUUGAACCCCUCUGAAAAUUCAUGAUCCAGCACCUCAUCCGUGAAGCACAGGGUGUGUGCGGCGCCCCUUUAUUUGGCUGUGUCGUGGCGUGGGUCCGACGGCUGUAGUGUUUGGUGUUGAUUCGGAGCUGGUAGUUGAUCAGUGUAGACAGUUUGGUGGUCGUGAUCUUGCGUAGGAGCACGUUUCCUAGAUCCAUAGAUGGACCUAGCCAUACCAGCUCUUUUGUCCAGGUGCUCACAUAGAUCGUAUGCUAACUUAUGUGCGGCAUCAUUAGCCGCUCUGUCUCGGCCACAGGGUGGUCGGUCCGGCAGAUCGGCCGUAUUUUUUUCGGCGGGAUGGGCUCUAUAGCCUCGUCGUCGAAUUCGUGCAGCAGCUUGCGCUUUGGGUAGCUCUUUAUGUGGCGACUGCCACCUUAUUUUUCGUAAGUGUCAAGCAAUUUGUUCCAUCUGUGGUUGAGCAUAUCCUGCGCGGCCUAAAGCCUUUGCUUCUGCUUCUUCAGGCUCCUCACGGUGGCGAUAAGACUUUUGUGGAGGUUCUCUUGUUCCAAGUGCUUUUCUAGGAUGAUGUGUGAUACGUCUCCAACGUAUCUACUUUUCCAAACACUUUUGCCCUUAUUUUGGACUCUAAUUUGCAUGAUUUGAAUGAAACUAACCCGGAUUGACGCUGUUUUCAGCAGAACUGACAUGAUGUUGUAAUAUGUGUACAAAACAAAAGUUCUCGGAAUGUCCUGAAAAUCUAUGGAGGCACUUUUUGGAAAAUAUAAAAAAUACUGGCGAAAGAAUCAAGACCAGGGGGCCCACACCCUGUCCACAAGGGUGGGGGCGCACCCACCCCCCUAGGCGCGCCCCGUGUCCCGUGGGCCCCCUGAGGCUCCGCCGACCUCAACUCCAACUCCAUAUAUUCCGUCUCGUGGAGAAAAAAAUCAAAGAGAAAGUUUCAUCGCGUUUUACGUUACAGAGCCGCCGCCAAGCCCUAAUCUCUCUUGGGAGGGCUGAUCUGGAGUCCGUUCGGGGCUCCGGAGAGGGGGAUUCGUCGCCGUCGUCAUCAUCAACCAUCCUCCAUCACCAAUUUCCUGAUGCUCACCGCCGUGCGUGAGUAAUUCCAUCAUAGGCUUGCUGGACGGUGAUGGGUUGGAUGAGAUUUACCAUGUAAUCAAGUUAGUUUUGUUAGGGUUUGAUCCCUAGUAUCCACUAUGUUCUGAGAUUGAUGUUGCUAUGACUUUGAUAUGCUUAAUGCUUGUCACUAGGGCCCGAGUGCCAUCAUUUCAGAUUUGAACCUAUUAUGUUUUCAUGAAUAUAUGUGUGUUCUUGAUCCUAUCUUGCAAGUCUAUAGUCACCUAUUAUGUGUUAUGAUCUGACAACCCCGAAGUGACAAUAAUCGGGAUACUUCUCGGUGAUGACUGUAGUUUGAGGAGUUCAUGUAUUCACUAUGUGCUAAUGCUUUGUUUUGGUUCUCUAUUAAAAGGAGGCCUUAAUAUCCCUUAGUUUCCACGAGGACCCCGCUGCCACGGGAGGGUAGGACAAAAGAUGUCAUGCAAGUUCUUUUCCAUAAGCACGUAUGACUAUUUACAGAAUACAUGCCUACAUUACAUUGAUGAAUUGGAGCUAGUUCUGUGUCACCCUAUGUUAUAACUAUUACAUGAGGAAUCACAUCCGACAUAAUUAUCCAUCACUGAUCCAUUGCCUACGAGCUUUUCACAUCUUAUGCUUCGCUUAUUUACUUUUCCGUUGCUACUGUUACAAUGACUACAAAACCCUAAAAUAUUACUUUUGCUACUAUUACCUUUAUUAUCAUACUACUUUGCUACUAAAUACUUUGCUGCAGAUACUAAGUUAUCCAGGUGUGGUUGAAUUGACAACUCAACUGCUAAUACUCAAUAAUAUUCUUUGGCUCCCCUUGUGUCAAAUCAAUAAAUUUGAGUUGAAUACUUUACCCUCGAAAGCUGUUGCGAUCCCCUACACUUGUGGGUUAUCAAGACUAAUUUCUGGCGCCCUUGCCGGGGAGCAUAGCUCUAUUCUCUGAGUCACUUGGGAUUUAUAUUUGUUGAUGACUAUGAGGAACUUGAAGGACGAAAGAACCAAGAUUUUUCCCUCAACUACGAGGGGAGGUAAGGAACUACCAUCUAGCUCUGCACUAGAUUCUCCUUCUAUUUUGAGUAAGCUUGCGACACCUAAACCUGCUACUGCUAUGAAUUCUGACAUGUUGCAUGUUAUUGUGAUGCCACUUCUGCUAUGCAUGAUACUUAUGAUGAAACUACUUCUGUGCGUGAUACUUCUUUGCCAUUAGGUGAAUUUCUUGAUGAACAACUUGCUAGGGCUAGAGAAUGGAAUUAUUGAAGAUGCUAUUAUUGAUGAUAGUGAUGAUGAAAGUUCUCCCAAUGAUUAUGAAUUGCCUAUUGUUCCUGAGGGUUAUGUUAUGGAAGAGGAAGCUGCUAGAGCUAUCUUUGCUUGUAAAGAUAGAUAUGAUCUUAAGAAAUUAUUAGCUAAAUGGAAGCAGCAGUCUCUUAAUGCUAGAAUGAAGCCUGACCCUGCUUUUGCUACUUCAUCUAUUUUUGUUACUGAUAAGGAUUAUGAAUUCUCUGUUGAUCUUGAGAUUAUUACUUUAGUUGAAUCUGAUCCUUUUUAUGGCCUUGAAUCUGAAACUGUUGUGGCACAUCUUACCAAGUUGAAUGAUAUAGCCACCCUGUUUACUCAUGAUGAUAAAUCUCGCUAUUAUUAUAUCCUUAAGAUAUUUCCGUUCUCAUUAAAUGGUGAUGCUAAGACUUGGUAUAAUUAUCUUGCUCCUGGUUGUGUGCGUAGUCCCCAGGAUAUGAUUUAUUACUUCUCUACUAAAUAUUUCCCUGCUCAUAAGAAGCAAGUUGCAUUACGGGAAAUAUAUAAUUUGUGCAAAUCAAAGAAGAGAGUCUCCCACAAGCUUGGGGGAGGCUUCUCCGAUUACUUAAUGCUUUGCCUGAUCAUCCUCUUAAGAAAAAUGAAAUACUUGAUAUCUUUUAUAAUGGACUAAACGAUGCUUCCAAGGACUACUUGGAUAGUUGUGCUGGUUGUGUUUUAAGGGAAAGAAUAGUCAAUGGAGCUGAACUACUAUUGAAUAAUAUGUUGACUAAUGAAAAUAAUUGGACUCUUCCUGAGCCAAUUCCUGAACCAAUUGAGCCAAUUCCUGAGCCUAUUUCUAAACCCACUCCGAAGAAGAGAGGUGUUUUAUUUCUCAGUCCUGAAGAUAUGCAAGAGGCAAAGAAAUCAAUGAAAGAAAAAGGUAUUAAAGCUGAAGAUGUUAAGAAUUUACCUCCUAUUGAAGAAAUACAUGGUCUUAAUACACCGCCUGUUGAAGAACCACAUUCUCUUGAUAACCCAACAUAGGUAGUAAAGGUAAAUUUUCUCUAUAGAUAUGAUAAAGUUGAAAUUCCCUCUACUAAAUUUCAUAUCCCAUGCUUAGAUGAAUUCGAUGACUUUAUGGCUAGACAAGAAAGUUUUGAUGCUUAUGUUGGUAGAGAGUUAAAUAAUAAUGCUUUCGAGAUAGGACGCGUGAGCGAUUAUAUGGCUAGAGUUAAAGGUGAACUCAAACUCGUUAGCAAAUAUGCUUCUAUGGUUGCUACUCAAGCUGAGCAAGUACUUAAAGCUCAAAUUGAUUUGCUUGAUGGAUUAAAUAAUAAAAAUGACUUUGCUAUUAGAGUGGCUACUAGAACUGGUAGAAUGACUCGGGAACCUUUGUAUCCUGAAGGCCACCCUAAGAGAAUCGAGCAAGAUUCUCAGAGAAACAAUUUAGAGGCACCUAGUUCUUCUAAAAAGAAGAAAAAGAAAAAUGAUAGAACUUUGCAUGCUUCUAGUGAACCUAUUGCGGACACACCUGAGAAUGCCAAUGAUAUUUCUAUCUCUGAUGCUGAAACACAAUCAGGUGAUGAACAUGAACCUAGUGAUAAUGUUAAUGAUAAUGUUCAUGUUGUUGCUUAACCUAGCAAAAACAAUGAAGUAGCGAUUGAACCUGCUGUUGAUCUUGAUAACCCACAAUCAAAGAAUCAACGUUAUGACAAGAGAGAUUUUGUUGCUAGGGAGCACGGUAGAGAAAGAGAACCAUGGGUUCAGAAACCCAUGCCCUUUCCUCCUAAACCAUCCAAGACAAAGGAUGAUGAGGAUUUUGAGCGCUUUGCUGAAAUGAUUAGACCUAUCUUCUUACGUAUGCGCUUAACUGAUAUGCCUAAAGUAAAUCCUUAUGCUAAGUAUAUGAAGGAUAUCAUUACAAACAGAAGAAAGAUACCGGAAGCUGAAAUUUCCACCAUGCUUGCUAGUUACACUUUUAAGGGUGGAAUACCAAAGAAACUUGGAGAUCCCGGGGUACCAACUAUACCAUGCUCCAUUAAAAGAAAUUAUGUUAGAACUGCUUUAUGUGAUCUUGGAGCCAGUGUUAGUGUUAUGCCUCUCUCUUUAUAUCGUAGACUUGAAUUGAAUAAGUUGACACCUACUGAAAUAUCUUUGCAAAUGGCUGAUAAAUCAACUGCCAUACCUGUCGGUAUUUGUGAGGAUGUGCCUGUUGUGGUUGCAAAUGUCACUAUCUUAACGGACUUUGUUAUUCUUGAUAUUCCCGAGGAUGAUAGUAUGUCGAUUAUCCUUGGUAGACCCUUUUUGAAUACUGCAGGGGCAUUUAUUGAUUGCAAAAAAGGCAAUGUCACUUUUCAUGUUAAUGGUAAUGAGCAUACGGUACACUUUCCGAGGAAACAAUCUCAAGUUCAUAGCAUCAAUUCUAUUGGAAAAGUUCCAACUAUUAUUAUUGGAGGUUUUGAAUUUCCUCUCCCUACUGUCAAGAAAAAGUAUGAUAUUCUUAUUAUUGGGGAUGUUCAUAUCCCCGUUGAGGUAACUUAGUGUUAUUCGAAAUUUCUCCGGUUCCGUGUUAUUCAGAAUGAGUUUGUUAACAAGACUUGUUCAACCUUGUUAGUGGAUUCAUUUUGAUGAUCACGAGAAUAAAUAAAGCAAAAGUAGUAUUAUCUGUCUGUUUUCUGAAUUAUCCGUGCAAUAAAAGAAUAUCCCGAAAAUAAAAGUGCUCCAAAUGCCCUGCAAAUUUAGUAUGAUUUUUUAUGGAAUAUUUGAGGAUUUUAGGCACUGAAAUCACUACAGGAGGGGCAAGCACCAGGCCACGAGAGUGGAGGGCGCGCCCACCCCCCUAGGCAUGCCCCCUGUCUCCUGGGCCCCUGGUGGCCCCCUCCACUUAUGCCAGCACCACACACUCCAUCUUCUUCCCAAAAAAAUCCCCACCAGCUCAAGCACGAGUUCUAGCUCGUUUUGUUACGAUUUUCGAUCUCCUUGCUCAAAGCUCCAUUCACAAAACUGCUUUGGGAGAUUGUUGCUUGGUAUGUGACUCCUCCAUUGGCCCAAUUAGUUUUUGUUCUAGUGCUUUAUUCAUUGCAAAUUUUUGCUGCAUAGGUGACCAUGUUCUUGAGCUUGCAUGUUAAAUUUAUGAGGUCCCAAGCAAUUCUAAUACAUGAUAUAGGCACUAGGCACUUGUAGGAGUAGUUGCUAUCAAUCUUGUUUAGUUUUAUUCACUUUUAUUUUGAAGCUACUAAAAUUUCAGAAAUUUUUCAAAAAAAAGAAUUAUGUCUAGGAGAAUGUACCAAGGUGAUUCUUCGGUGAAGAAAGGGCCCAGGAUUGCUAUACGUGAGCAAGAUGUUGAAUUAUCAAGGAAUUCAGAUGUACGAGCUUGUGAGUGGCCAUCCGACGAUUUUAUGGUCGAAGCAGGCUUUAAGGAGGAAUUUGACGCAUAUGUGUGUAAUGCUGAUCUGGAGGACUUUUACAAGAUAAGUGCCCUCAGUACUAUCAAUUGAAAGAUUCCUUUGUGCGGAGGUUUAAAUACAACUAUACACGUAAUUCUCCUAGUGUCCUAUUUGAUAUCUAUGAUACAUCUUAUACCAUGGACUUAGAGGAUUUUACAACUGCUUGCAAACUUCCACAGUGGGGAAAUAUUAAUGAUCCCCACAAAUCUGAAUUUAGAGAUUUCCUUGCUAGUAUUACUGUGGAAGAAUCCAGGGAUAUUGCACAAGCUACCAUAGGGAGCAUUCAUUUUCCUGCUAUACAUUAUUUUGCUCUCUUCAUUGUUAUAUGCAUUAACGGUAAAGAUGAAGCAUGUUAUAUGUGUGUCCCUGAUCUUUGUGUCCUCAAGAGUGUUGUGCUAGGUUAUAAAGAUUAUAACUUGGGGGCAAUAGUUGCAUGUAGGUUGCAUAAUAAUGGAAGAGCUGGAGAUUUAUUUGGAGGAAUUUAUGCGACCCGUGUGGCAAAUUUCUUGGUAUAGCCCCACGAGAGGGGGAUAUGAUGUUACCUCCUGCUUAUUUAGAUUAUGACGCUAUGGUCCAACAUCAUUUUCUUAAGAGGAAUGAACAAUUCCUCUAGUAUCGACUAAUCUAUGACAGACGCAACGCUGACCAUGUUACUCUUCCUGCUCCUCUCCUUUUUGAUUACCAGGCAAAAGGAAGAUAUGUUGUUACCAGGGAGGAAGCAGUUGAACACAAGGGGAGAGCGGAGGCGGCUCGCCAACAUGCCAUAGCUCAGGAGGCAAUUGUUGCUGAAUCAAUAUGACCCCAGUUACAACUACGGAUAUCAGCCAGUCGGUCCUUGGUAUUAGACCAACUUAGGCCAAAAGCCUAAGCUUGGGGGAGUACAUAUUUCUCACGACUUUACAUUCAUGUUCACACACUAUCUAGUUGUCGGUGCUCAUACUCUUUCAUUGUAUUAUCCACGCUAGUUUAAUUUUCUUUUUCUCGCUUUCUUCUUGUGUGUUUGAUAAACCUUAAGAAAAACCAAAAAAUUAGUUAGUUUAAUUUCCAUGCUUGUAGUAGAAAUUAAAAUGAAAACCCAAAAAGAUUUCUCGUUCUUCUUCUUACUUGUUGGGAGCUUUCCCGUGUAAAUAUUUUUAUUUUCUUUUCUUUUCUUUGGGGUUCGAGAGUAGAAGACCAUAUUGAAAAUGUUGAGUGGCUCUCACUUGCAUGAUUGUUUAUUUAACUUAGAGCCCAUAUUACCUUGUCUUCUCUCUUGAGUUGAAUGCUUGCAGAUUCCAGCUUAGUCCAAUGCACGUGCACUAUUAUUAUUAUACACAUCGUUCGGUCGUGCAAGUGUAGCGACCAGACCUCAAACAGUCUGACCUCUGUGCUUUAGUGUCAUCCCUGGAUCAGUAAUGCUGACACGCACAGUACUUGAAGGAUUUAUAACAGAGUAGCAAUCACGCACUUAUUACAUCGAAUGUCUCAAAAGAGAGCUUAUUACAAUAAAUAUGGCUUGAGGCCAUCUAAUAACGAUAACAGCGGAAGGCUUGGAAGAUAAGUGAGUCCAUCAACUCCAACUACAUCACUGAGUAUAGAACCACGACCUAAAGGCACCUUACUCGUCGUCUGAAAAGUCUGCAACAUGAACGUUGCAGCCCAAAAACGGGUCAGCACAUGGAAUAUGCUGGCAAUGUAACACAGAGAGAAAUGAACAGAAAUAUGCUAUACUACAUGCAUAUAUGGCUGGUGGAAAGCUCUAUGGUUACAGUUUGCAUAAAGCCAAUUUUUCCCUACUGCAAAGGAAUAAAUUUUAUUUAACUAUCAUGGUGGUUGUUAAACAUUGAGAGUGUAGACACCCUCUCAAUCCCAAUCAAACAUCAACAUUAAAACCCAACAAAAUUAAUUAAAGUAACAUGAUGAUAUUCACAUGAUAAUCCAAGUACUAGAUACUCAAGAUGUCCAUAACCGGGGACACGGCUAACCAUGAUUAGUUUAUACACUCUUCAGAGGUUUGCGCACUUUUCCCCACAAGACUCGAUCUCCUCCGUUGGGAUUCUCGCACUACAUGGUGUUUGAGAAAUGGAUGACCGAGACAUAGUCUUUCAGAAGCACUAGCACCUUACGAUCGGGUAGACAGUUACACCUACUUUCCCCUACAUAUGCUAGUCUACCACUGUAAGAGUUCGCACGACUUAAUCAACUAUGCUAGAGCCCAUAGUAGCUUGUGGCUGCACACGGAAGUUUCUAGCAUUAAUAAUCUCAUGAUCCCUUUGAGCCUGGGUGGCGGUCCAUAAAGAAAAACAUGCAAUCGUUGGAAUACCCAGUGCCUCAAUCCACCCAGAUGUGUGUUAAAGUUGCCACCUUAAAUAAACCAUUAAAUAACAAUCUCACAAUUGUCAUGGAUACACUCACCCAAUCCAUGUCUACUAGCAUAGCAUGGCAUAAUAAGCAAACGUAGAAGUAACUCCCAAGGGUUUGAUAAUAAAACAGGUAAUAGGUACUACCUCAUCUACUUCCCAACCCACAAAUUAAUUAGAUCGUAAUCAUGCAAUGUUUGAGGAUUGAUUUAAUGCAAUAAAACUGGGUAGUAAAGAGGUAUGAUCAAAGUGUUACUUGCCUUGCUGAUGAUCCGUGAAACCUAGAGAUUCGAAGUAGCAACCGGCGCACUCCGGGUUCUCUAACGCAAACAAACAAACAUACAAUAAGUAAUUACCUAAUGCACGGGUAAAACUCAAGUAAGAGAUCUAACCAGAAAAUUCAACUUAAGAACUCCGGUUUGCAAAAAGAAUCAAAUCGAACGAAGCAACGAAAAUCAAACGGCGAAAGAAACAAGCUUCGUUUACUAAUCUGGACCUAAGUCAAAUUUUACAGAAGCAAAAACUUGUUUGAGUGGGUUAAACGGAAAGAGGGUUUCGAGACGAAACUCUAGGCGCUUGAAUCGCCUGAUUCCGAUAAACGAGCGAAAAGUUAUACUAGAACGAAAAUCAGAUCAGGAAUCGCGAUAAGAAAUAACCGCGGAAAAUCUGAGAAAAAGAAAAACUGGCAAACAGAUUAACGAACGAACGUUCGUCAACUGAAACUAAACGGCAAACUCGUCCGUCAAAACGAACGAACGGGCGAAUGUUUGCUAAAAAGAUAAACCAAAAAAAUUGUGGAGGGGUGGCGGUGUGGGGCGGCGGCGGCGACUAUUUAUGGAGGGGGGCGGCGGCUCUGGCUUGGGGAAGGGUCAGGGGGCGGCCGGGUCGGGGUCAGCCUUGGGAGGCGUGCCGCGGCCAGACUCGGCGGCGGCGGCGCGGGCCGGCCUGGCUCGGCUGGGCCUUCGGCCCAGUCGGGCGCGGGAUUUUUUUUAACAAUUACGCCGAAACUAAGAAAAAUUCUAGAAAAAUAAAUAAAAAUCUAAAAAUGCCAAAACAAAUUUUCGCCGUCUAAAUAAAAAAUUUAGAACGGGAUGAAUCUUGGCCCUAAAAUGCAGUUUGGAAAAAUGUGCAAUUUUUCCUAAAUUCAAAUAAAAGGCAAAAACUCCAAAAUAAAUCUUAUUUGUUUUUUUAUUAAAUCCUCAAUAUUUCUUUAAUUUGGGAAAGUCAUUUUAUUUCCUCUCUCAUAUUUUUAUAAUAGAAAUAAUUGAAGAUAAAAUAAAUAAAAUCAAAUGAUCCUAUUUUCAAAAUUUGAGAAAACUCAAAUAUGAAAAUAACGAAAAUCCCAACUCUCUCCGAGGGUCCUUGAGUUGCAUAGAAUUUCUGGAUCAGGCCAAAGCAAUAAAAUAUGAUAUGCAGUGAUGAUCUAGUGUAUAACAUUCCAAAUUGAAAAUUUGGGAUGUUACAAACCUACCCCCCUUAAGAUGAAUCUCGCCCUCGAGAUUCGGGCUGGCUAGAAAAUAGGCGAGGGUGGUCCUUCAGCAGAUCCUCCUCUCGCUCCCAGGUGGCUUCAUCCUCGGUGUGGUGGCUCCACUGAACUUUGCAAAAACUUGAUUACCUUGUUGCGGGUGACUCGGUUGGCAUACUCGAGAAUCUUGAUUGGUUUCUCCUCAUAGGUCAAAUCACUAUCCAACUGAAUCGCUUCCAGCGGCACUGUAUCUCUCAGCGGUAUAUCAGCCAUCUCUGCGUGGCACUUCUUCAACUGGGAAACAUGGAAUACAUCGUGAACUCCUGACAAUCCUUCGAGCAACUCCAACUUGUAAGCAACUUCUCCCAUACGCUCCAAAACUUUGUAUGAUCCCACAAAACGUGGCGCCAAUUUUCCCUUAACUCCAAAGCGCUUAGCUCCCCGAAGUGGAGAUACACGAAGACAAACUCUGUCUCCGACUUCGUAAAAUGUCUCCUUGCAUUUAGAAUCUGCAUAGCUCUUCUGCCUGGACUGGGCUACUUUGAGCCUAUCGCGAAUCAACUUCACCUUCUGUUCAGACUCCUUAAUCAAAGCUGGUCCAAACAACUAGCGGUCUCCAACUUAAUCCCAUGACAAUGGGGUCCUGCACCUCCUUCCGUACAUGGCUUCGAAAGGGGCCAUCUUCAAACUGGAUUGAUAACUGUUGUUGUAAGAGAACUCUGCAUACGGCAAAUUGUCGUCCCAACUAGAUCCAUAAUCUAGCACACAAGCUCUCAGCAUAUCCUCCAAAAUCUGAUUUACUCUCUCGCUCUGUCCAUCUGUCUGUGGAUGAAAGGCUGUACUGAACUCUAGCAUGGUUCCCAAAGUUUCGUGCAAUUGAUUCCAGAACUUUGAGGUAAACUGGGUUCCUCUAUCUGAUACGAUGCUCCUCAGAACUCCAUGCAGACAUACGAUCCUGGUCAUGUAUAUCUUAGCCAACUUAGCACUGGUGUAAGUGGUCUUUACUAGGAUGAAAUGGGCUACCUUCAUCAGACGAUCGACUACAACCCAAAUCGAGUCAUAGCCUGAAUGAGUCAUGGGCAAUCCCGUGAUAAAAUCCAUGCCUAACUUAUCCCACUUCCAUUCGGGUAUUGGCAAUGGCUGUAACAAUCCGGCUGGCUUCUGAUGCUCUGCCUUCACUCUCUGACAUACAUCACAAACUGCUACAUACUCCGCAAUAUCCUUCUUCAUUCUGGUCCACCAAAAAGUAUCCUUCAAAUCCAAAUACAUCUUGGUAUUUCCUGGGUGAAUCGAGUACGGUGAAUCAUGGGCCUCUUGCAGAAUCAACUUCUUGCAAAUCAUUAGGCACAUAAAUGCGGUCCUCAAACCAUAAAGUAUCAUGCUCAUCCUCACGAAAUCCCUUAGCUUCUCCCUUGCUCAUUUUCUCCUUUAUAGAGGCAAUCUCCUUGUCAGUCUUCUGAGCUUCUCUGAUCUUAUCCAUUAAGGUGGACUGAAUCUCCAAUGCUGCUACAUAGCCUGUCGGAACUAUUUCCAAACAUAGUUCUCGAAGAUCCUCGGCUAACUCCUUUGGUAACUCUCCGGUCAUGAGAGUAUUGACAUGGCUCUUGCGGCUCAACGCAUCGGCUACUACGUUAGCCUUUCCGGGGUGAUAAUGCAAUCUCAUAUCAUAAUCCUUGAUGAGCUCCAACCAUCUCCUUUGCCUGAGAUUCAGCUCCUUCUGUGUGAAAAUGUACUUCAAACUCUUGUGAUCCGUGUACACAUCACAAUGAUUUCCAAUAAGAAAAAGUCUCCAAGUCUUCAAUGUGUGCACUAUGACUGCUAACUCCAAAUCAUGUGUAGCAUAAUUCAACUCAUGGGGCUUAAGCUGUCGUGAAGCAUACGAAACAACUCUUCCCUCCUGCAUAAGCACUGCUCCAAGUCCUCGACGAGAAGCGUCGCAAUACAUCUCGUAAUCCUUGUGCUGAUCUGUUAGAAUCAACACUGGCGAUGUAACCAAACGUUUCUUCAACUCUCGGAAACUGGCCUCACAUUCCUCAGUCCAAUUGAACUUGGUAUCCUUCUUCAACAACUCCAUCAUGGGCUUUGCAAUCUUCGAGAAAUUCUCAACGAAUCUCCGGUAGUAUCCUGCCAGUCCAAGAAAACUCCGGAUCUCUCCAACUGCCGUUGGUGCUACCCAAUUUGUCACAAUGACAACCUUGGUAGGAUCUACUGCUAUUCCUUCCCCGGAUAUAACAUGUCCGAGGAAUCCAACUUCCUUCAACCAAAACUCACAUUUGCUGAACUUGGCAUAUAACUGAUGUUCUCUGAGCUUCUCCAGUACCAAACGCAAAUGCUCCUUAUGCUCUUCUUCAUUCUUCGAGUAGACCAAAAUAUCAUUAAUGAACACCACGACAAACUUAUCCAGAAACUCCAUAAACACCUUGUUCAUCAUGUUCAUGAAAUAGGCAGGUGCGUUAGUCAGACCAAAUGACAUAACGGUAUACUCAUACAGCCUGUACCUGGUGGUAAAAGCCGUCUUAGGUAUAUCCUGCUCUUGAAUCUUCAACUGAUGGUAUCCCGAUCGCAAAUCGUUCUUGGAAAAUACCUUAGCUCCUUGCAAUUGGUCAAACAAAUCAUUGAUCAUCGGCAACGGGUACUUGUUCUUGAUCGUUACUUCAUUCAGUCCUCGAUAAUCAACAACCAUCCUCAACGAUCCAUCCUUCUUCUCCACUAGAAGCACUAGUGAUCCCCAAGGUGGAGAACUUGGGCGAAUAUAGCCUUUAUCCAGUAACUCCUUAAUCUACCUCUUAAUUUCCUCCAAAUCUUGUGCGGGCAUCCUGUACGGUCUCUUAGAUAUCGGCCCUGUGCCUGGCAGAAGCUCAAUCAAAAACUCAAUGAAUCUAUCCGGUGGCAUGCCUGGCAACUCUUCUGGAAAUACAUCAGGGAAAUCCUUCACCACUGGUACUUUCUCCUGUACAACUCCUGAUAAGGAAUUUACUUGUGUCCUCUUCGGCUCAUGCCGUGAUACAUACUUGAUCCUUCUUCCUUCUGGAGUGGUAAGCAAAAUCGACUUACUGGCGCAAUCGAUGUUUCCUCCAUACAUCGAUAGCCAAUCCAUACCCAGAAUUACAUCCAAACGUUGUGAUUCCAAAAUGAUUAAAUCCGAGGGGAAAACAUGCCUACCUAUACUCAAUGGCACUUGAAAACAUCCUUGACUGGCCAUAUACUCCGCUCCUGGUGAGCCUACUAACAUAGGUGUUCUAAGAACCUUGGAGGGCAGUUUAUAUUUAUCCACAAAUCCCCUUGAUAUGUAUGAAUGCGAUGCACCGGUAUCAAAAAGAAUGAGUGCAGUAAAUGACUUAACCAAAAACUUACCUAUUACUGCAUCUGGUUGGGCUUCAACCUCCUCCACGUUAACGUGGUUCACCUAUCCCCUAUUGAAAGGGUUCGGCUUCUUCCCUGAGCUUCCAUUGCCAUUUCCAUUCUGGGCUUCAGGAUAUUCAUUGGCAUAAUGUCCAGUCUUCUGGCACUUAUAGCAACUGACUUGGCUCAGGUCUCUCUUGGCUGGUGUUGAUGGGUUGGUACGGUUCUGGCCGUUGCUUCCUCCAUUCCUGUUACCAUUCUUGGGGCCAUUAUGAUUAUGCGAGCUACCUCCUCCAUGGGUAUGCUGAAAAUGUCCUCCCGAUUUCGGGGUAAAACGUGGCUUCUGCGGAGGUCCAGAAUUGUACUUCCCUUGUCCAUACUUCCUCUUGCGGUUCUCAAUCUGCUACUGCUUCCCUUCAAUCAUAAGAGCACGAUCUACCAACUCCUGGUAGUUGUUGAAGGUUGCUACCAUCAACUGCAUGCCCAGCUCAUCAUUUAGUCCUUCCAGAAACUUCUCCUGCUUAGCUGCAUCCGUAGCAACGUCGUCUGGGGCAUAACAUGCUAAUUUACUAAAGUCAUCCACAUACUGGCCAACUUUCCGUCCUCCUUGGCGCAAGUUGCGAAACUCACGCUUCUUCAUGGCCAUAGCUCUUGCUGAAACAUGGCCAAUACGGAAAGCCUACUGAAACUGAUCCCAUGUGACAAUGUCGAUAGGAUAAGUGGCUGUGAAAUUCUCCCACCAUGAUGUUGCGGGUCCUUCAAGCUGGUGUGCCGCAAAACGCACCCUCUCCGCAUCUGUGCAUCCUACAGUGGUGAACUCUCUUGCUGUCUUGCAGAGCCAAUCAUCUGCAACUACCGGCUCGGUGCUACUAGAGAACACCGGCGGGUUCAGUCUAAGAAAAUGGGUUAAGUGAUCAACAGGUGGUGGUGGUGGGUUGUUGUUGUUAUUGUUCCCCUGAUUCUGAUUCUAGACUAGCAACUGCAUCAACGCAUCCUGCUGCUGGAUCAACUGGGUGAGCUCCGAUGGGAAAGCAAAUCCGUUGUCACGUCUCGGAGGCAUCUGAGGGUUUUAGAAAAGAUGAGAAUAAAGAAUAGAAUGAGGUCUAGAGAGAAAACACUACCCAUAUGCACAUGAGACAAAUGAAAAAAAUCACUUCAUUCAAUCAAACAAGGGCAUACAACGGUCUAACUAUCAUUACAAAAGUGCUCGGACUAUACUAGAUACAUGGGGGAAAUACUACUACUGUUAUGGUGGUCGACUAGAAAAACUGCUCCGAUGAAGACUCCAUGAUAUCUGCUCCAGCUUCAUCAACAUAGUCAUCAUCGCUAUCGUCCGGGUCCGAGUCAGUGUCGUCGAUGAUGAUGUAGUUCUCUGGACAGGUGUAAUCAUCUUCUCCUCCAGUUGCGGGAAAUCCCAUAAACACUUUAAGCUUCUUCUUCAGAUCAUCGUUCUUCUCCACGAGUGUUGCUAUUUCCUCCUCAUAUCCAUUGCGUGUAGACUUGAGUUCUUCCUCCAGCUCUGUGAUCUUGGUCAUGGCCUUAUUUAGAUCUAUCAUGCCUACGCACAUCUGGUUCUCCUAGCGUCGAAUGUGCUGGUUUAACUCUUGGAUGAAAGCUGCAAUUGAUCUAUCUUUCCUGGUACUGAUCAUCUCCCAUUGCUCAUCUCGGCGCCCACAAAUCUGGUAGAUAGUAUCCUUGAGAUCCUUUUGGUAAACUUCUCCAAUGCGUCCCAUGGUGAUGUGAGCUGCCAUGCUCUUUCCUAGACUCCAGGUUGGUGCAUCGAAUGAAAACUCUAUGGCUCAGUGACGGGCAUGAACGUCCUUCCUGGAACUUGAACUUGAAUCAUCCAGCGCUCCUCUUCAGGUAAGGUGGCGUUGUAGGUCCCGGUGAAGCUUGGUACUCCGAUGUUCAGGUAUCUAGUGACUUCCUUCAAGUGGCGUCCAAAGGGUGUAUCUUCAUCCGGUUGCGUGAACUUGUUCCUUGCAUCCGCCAUCCUAAAAGAAUAGAGAAGAUGAGGAGUCAGAAAUGAGAAGAGUGAGUAGUGAUCUAGGGCUUUUAGCUUAGUGGUCGUGUCCUACAGUCAGCGUGUGCUCUGGUACCAUCUUGUAGCGACCAGACCUCAAACAGUCUGACCUAUGUGCUUUAGUGUCAUCCCUGGAUCAGUAAUGCUGACACGCACAAUACUUGAAGGAUUUAUAAUAGAGUAGCAAGCACACAAUUAUUACAUCUAAUGUCUCAAAAGAGAGCUUAUUACAAUAAAUAUGGCUUAAAGCCAUCUAAUAACGAUAACAGCGGAAGACUUGGAAGAUAAGUGAGACCAUCAACUCCAACGGCAUCACUGAGUAUAGAACCAUGACAUAAAGGCACCUUACUCGUUGUCUGAAAAGUCUGCAACAUGAACGUUGCAGCCCGAAAACGGGUCGGCACAUGGAAUAUGCUGGCAAUGUAAUACAUAGAGAGAAAUGAACAGAAAUAUGCUAUACUACAUGCAUAUAUGGCUGGUGGAAAGCUCUAUGGUUACAGUUUGCAUAAAGCCAAUUUUUCCCUACUGCAAAGGAAUAAAUUUUAUUUAACUAUCAUGGUGGUUGUUAAACAUUGAGAGUGUAGACACCCUCUCAAUCCCAAUUAAACAUCAACAUUAAAACCCAACAAAAUUAAUUAAAGUAACAUGAUGAGAUUCACAUGAUAAUCCAAGUACUAGAUACUAAAGAUGUCCAUAACCGGGGACACGGCUAACCAUGAUUAGUUUAUACACUCUGCAGAGGUUUGCGCACUUUUCCCCACAAGACUCAAUCUCCUCCAUUGGGAUUCUCGCACUACAUGGUGUUUGAGAAACGGAUGACUGAGACAUAGUCUUUCAGAAGCACUAGCACCUUACGAUCGGGUAGACAGUUACACCUACUUUCCCCUACAUCUGCUAGUCUACCACUAUAAGAGUUUGCACGACUUAAUCAACUAUGAUAGAGCCCAUAGUAGCUUGUGGCUGCACACGGAAGUUUCUAGCAUGAAUAAUCUCUUGAUCCCUUUGAGCCUGGGUGGCGGUCCAUAAAGAAAAACAGGCAAUCACUGGAAUACCCAGGUGUCUCAAUCCACCCAGAUGUGUGUUAAAGUUGCCACCUUAAAUAAACCAUUAAAUAACAAUCUCAUAACUGUCAUGGAUACACUAACCCAAUCCACGUCUACUAGCAUAGCAUGGCAUAAUAAGCAAACGUAGAAGUAACUCCCAAGGGUUUGAUAAUAAAACAGGUAAUAGGUACUACCUCAUCUACUUCCCAACCCACAAAUUAAUUAUAUCCUAAUCAUGCAAUAUUUGAGGGUUGAUCUAAUGCAAUAAAAUUGGGUAGUAAAGAGGUAUGAUCAAAGUGUUACUUGCGUUGCUGAUGAUCCGUAAAACCUAAAGAUUCAAAGUAGCAAGCGGCGCACUCCGGGUACUCUAACGCAAACAUACAAGCAUACAAUAAGUAAUUAUCUAAUGCACAGGUAAAACUCAAGUAAGAGAUCUAACCAGAAAGUUCAACUUAAGAACUCCGGUUUGCAAAAAGAAUCAAAUCGAACGAAGCAACGAAAAUCAAACGGCGAAAGAAACAAGCUUCGUCUACUAAUCUGGACCUAAGUCAAAUUUUACAGAAGCAAAAACUUGUUUGAGUGGGUUAAACGAAAAGAGGGUUUCGAGACGAAACUCUAGGCGCUUGAAUCGCCUGAGUCCGAUAAACGAGCAAAAAGUUAUACUAGAACGAAAAUCGGAUCUGGAAGCGCGAUCAGAAAUAACCGUGGAAAAUCCGAGAAAAAGAAAAACUGAUGAACAGAUUAAGGAACGAACGUUUGUUAACUGAAACUAAAUGGUGAACUCGUCUGUUACAACGAAUGAACGGGCGAACGCUCGCUAUAAAGAUAAACCGAAAAAAAUAAACCGAUCUAUUCUAAAAAAAUGAAAACUAGGGUUUCUAAAAAAACGGAUCAGGUUUUUUUUAAAAGCCGGACCACGGUGGCGGCGGCUAUACCUCCGACAGGGCGAGGCGGCGUGGGGCUCCGGUGACGGCGGCUGGUGUCGGCGGCGGCGGCUACGNNNNNNNNNNNNNNNNNNNNNNNNNNNNNNNNNNNNNNNNNNNNNNNNNNNNNNNNNNNNNNNNNNNNNNNNNNNNNNNNNNNNNNNNNNNNNNNNNNNNNNNNNNNNNNNNNNNNNNNNNNNNNNNNNNNNNNNNNNNNNNNNNNNNNNNNNNNNNNNNNNNNNNNNNNNNNNNNNNNNNNNNNNNNNNNNNNNNNNNNNNNNNNNNNNNNNNNNNNNNNNNNNNNNNNNNNNNNNNNNNNNNNNNNNNNNNNNNNNNNNNNNNNNNNNNNNNNNNNNNNNNNNNNNNNNNNNNNNNNNNNNNNNNNNNNNNNNNNNNNNNNNNNNNNNNNNNNNNNNNNNNNNNNNNNNNNNNNNNNNNNNNNNNNNNNNNNNNNNNNNNNNNNNNNNNNNNNNNNNNNNNNNNNNNNNNNNNNNNNNNNNNNNNNNNNNNNNNNNNNNNNNNNNNNNNNNNNNNNNNNNNNNNNNNNNNNNNNNNNNNNNNNNNNNNNNNNNNNNNNNNNNNNNNNNNNNNNNNNNNNNNNNNNNNNNNNNNNNNNNNNNNNNNNNNNNNNNNNNNNNNNNNNNNNNNNNNNNNNNNNNNNNNNNNGGAGUGCCCCGGCCAGACUCAGCGGCGGCGCGGGCCGGCUUGGCUCGGGUGGGCCUUCGGCCCAGUUGGGAGCGGGAUUUUUUUAAAACAAUUCUGCCGAAGCUAAGAAAAAUUCUAGAAAAAUAAAUAAAAAUAUAAAAAUGCCAAAACAAAUUUUCACCCUCUUAAUAAAAUAUUUAGAACGGGAUGAACAUUUUCUUGGUCCUAAAAUGCAGUUUUGAAAAACGUGCAAUUUUUCCUAAAUUCAAAUAAAAGGUAAAAACUCCAAAAUAAAUCUUAUUUGAUUUUUUAUUAAAUCCUCAAUAUUUCUUUAAUUUGGUAAAGUCAUUUUAUUCCCUCUCUCAUAUUUUUAUAAUAUAAAUAACUAAAGAUAAAAUAAAUAAAAUCAAAUGAUCCUAUUUCCAAAUUUGAGAAAACUCAAAUAUGAAAAUAAUGAAAAUCCCAACUCUCUUCGAGGGUCCUUGAGUUGCGUAGAAUUUCUGGAUCAGGCCAAAGCAAUAAAAUAUGAUAUGGAAUGGUGAUCCAAUGUAUAACAUUCGAAAUUGAAAAUUUGGGAUGUUACAGCAAGUGAAAGGCAAUAAUGACGAUGUAUGAUGGACUUAUUGAGAUGAGAAAAGCUGGUAUGAACUCGACCUAUCUUGUUUUGUAAAUAUGAUGAGUUGAUCGUUUCUGAUUCAGCUAAUUAUGAGGUAAACAUAUUUGCAAUGACAUUUAGAGAUUAUAGUUGCUUGUGCCAUGCUUGAUUAGCUAUGAGUUAUAAUGGUUUACCUUGCGUGCCAACAUGCUAUUAGAAUGAUUAUGAUGUGGUUAGAUGGGAUGGUAUCCUCCUUAGAAUGAAUUGAGUGACUCGACUUGGCACAUGUUCACGCAUGUAGUUCAAACAAAUCAACAUAGCCUUCACGAUAUUUAUGUUCAUGGUGGAUUAUAUCCUACUCAUGGUUGUACUCGGUGUGAAUUAAUUUUAAUGCAUGUUUAUGACUGUUGUCGCUCUCUCAGUUGGUCGCUUCCCAGUCUUUUGCUAGCCUUCACUUGUACUAAGCGGGAAUACUGCUUGUGCAUCCAAACUCCUUAAAACCCCAAAGUUGUUCCAUAUGAGUCCACCAUACCUUCCUAUAUGCGGUAUUUACCUGCCGUUCCAAGUAAAUUUGUAAGUGCCAAACUCCAAACCUUCAAAUGAAAUUCUAUUUUGUAUGCUUGAGCAACUCAUGUUUCAACUAGGGGUGCCUAUAUCUUCCAUGCUAGGUGGGUUAUUCUUAAGAGGACUGGACUCUGCUCCUCAUUCACGAGAAAGGGCCGGUAACCGGGAUGCCCAGUCCUAUGAUCCAAAAAGAUCAAAGCAAAUCAAAAUAAUUAAACAAAACUCCGCCAGGGCUGUUGUUAGUUGGAGGCACUCGUUGUUUCUAGCAAGCCAUGGAUUGAUGCUUGUUGGUGGUUGGGGGAGUAUAAACCUUUACCAUUCUAUUUGGGAACUGCCUAUAAUGCAUGUAGUAUGGAAGAUACAACCAUAUCAUAGUUGUUGCAUUGACAGUGAAAGUAUGCCGCUCAAAAUUUUAUUCAAUCUCUAUUUGAAAAUCGAGCUCUGGCACCUCUACAAAUCCCUGCUUCCCUCUGUGAAGGGCCUAUCUAUUUACUUUUAUGUUGAGUCAUCACCCUUCUUAUUAAAAAGCACCCACUGGAGAGCACACUGUCAUUUGCAUUCAUUAUUAUUGGUUUAUAUUGGGUAUGACUUAACUGGAUCUCUUUCACCAUGAAUUACAAUGUUUAGUCAGUCCUUGAUCUUUAAAGGUGCUCUGCAUCUAUGUUUUGCGGUCUUAGAAAGGGCUAGCGAGAUACCAUUUUGUUAUAUCAUGUUAUGAUUGUUUUGAGAAAGUGUUGUCAUCCGAGUUAUAUUAUUAUGGCUCGCUAGCUGAUUAUGCUAUUGAUAUGAGUAAUUGUGAGACCGAGGUGUUAUUGUGAGUAUGGUUAGUUCAUAAUAUUUGCUGAAACCUGAAUGGUGGCUUUGCAUGUUUACAACAACAAGAGCAAAUAGAGUUUGUAAAAGUUUUUCUUUAUCACUUUCAGUUUAUCAACUGAAUUGCUUGAGGACAAGCAAAGGUUUAAGCUUGGGGGAGUUGAUACGUCUCCAACGUAUCUACUUUUCCAAACACUUUUACCCUUGUUUUGGACUCUAUUUAGCAUGAUUUUAAUGAAAUUAACCCGGACUGACGCUGUUUUCAGCAGAACUGCCAUGACAUUGUUUUAUGUGUAGAAAACAAAAGUUCUCAGAAUGUUCUGAAAAUCCAUGGAGGCACUUUUUGGAAAAUAUAAAAAUACUGGCGAAAGAAUCAAGACCAGGGGGGCCACAACCUGUCCACGAGGGUGGGGGCGCGCCCACCCCCUGGGCGCGCUCCCUGUCUCGUGGGCCCCCUGAGGCUCCGCCGACCUCAACUCCAACUCCAUAUAUUCCGUCUCGCGGAGAAAAACAUCAGAGAAAGUUUCAUUAUGUUUUACGAUACGGAGCCAUCGCCAAGCCCUAAUCUCACUCAGGAGGGCUGAUCUGGAGUCCGUUCGGGGCUCCAGACAGGGGGAUUCAUCAUCGUCGUCAUCAUCAACCAUCCUCCAUCACCAAUCUCCUGAUGCUCACCACCGUGCGUGAGUAAUUCCAUCGUAGGCUUGCUGGAGGGUGAUGGGUUGGAUUAGACUUACCAUGUAACCAAGUUAGUUUUGUUAGGGUAUGAUCCCUAGUAUCCACUAUGUUCUGAGAUUGAUGUUGCUAUGACUUUGCUAUGCUUAAUGCUUGUCACUAGGGCCCGAGUGCCAUGAUUUCAGAUCUGAACCUAUUAUGUUUUCAUGAAUAUAUGUGUGUUCUUGAUCCUAUCUUGCAAGUCUAUAGUCACCUAUUAUGUGUUAUGAUCCGACAAUCCCGAAGUGACAAUAAUCGGGAUACUUCUCGAUGAUGACCGUAGUUUGAGGAGUUCAUGUAUUCACUAUGUGCUAAUGCUUUGCUCCGGUUCUCUAUUAUAAGGAGGCCUUAAUAUCCCUUAGUUUCCGCUAGGACCCCGCUGCCACGGGAGGGUAGGACAAAAGAUGUCAUGCAAGUUCUUUUCCAUAAGCACGUAUGACUAUUUACGGAAUACAUGGCUACAUUACAUUGAUGAAUUGGAGCUAGUUAUGUGUCACCAACACCUCCGCCAUCUUCACCAACAUCUCCAUCACCUUCCUCCAUCUAUAUUAAAUGGUCCACUCUCCCGCUACGCGUUGUACCCUCUACUUGAACAUGGUGCUUUAUGCUUCAUAUUAUUAUCCAAUGAUGUGUUGCCAUCCUAUGAUGUCUGAGUAGAUUUUCGUUGUCCUAACGGUGAUUGAUGAAUUGCUAUGAUUUGUUUGAAUUGCAUGUUUUAUUGUUGGUGUUGUCCUAUUGUGCCCUCUGUGUCACGCAAGCAUGAGGGAUCCCCGCUGUAGGGUUUGCAAUAUGUUCAUGAUUUGCUUAUGUUGGGUGGCGUGAGUGAUAGAAGCACAGACCCGAGUAAGUAGGUUGUUUGCGUAUGGUAUAAAGGGGACUUGAUGCUUUAAUGCUAUGGUUGGGUUUUACCUUAAUGAUGUUUAGUAGUUGUGGAUGCUUGCUAGAGUUCCAAUCAUAAGUGCAUAUGAUCCAAGAAGAGAAAGUAUGUUAGCUUAUGCCUCUCCCUCAAAUAAAAUUGCAAUAGUGAUUACCGGUCUAUUAACGUAGUCGAUUGCUUACGGACACUUUCACAACUCCUACCACCACUUUUCCACACUCUCUAUAUUUACUUUAUUGCGUCUUUAUCUAAACAGCCCCUACUUUUUAUUUACGUGUUAUUUAUAUUCUUGCAAACCUAUCUAACAACACCUACAAAGUACUUGUAGUUUCAUACUUGUUUUAGGUAAAGCGAACACUAAGCGUGUGUAGAGUCGUAUCAGUGGCAGAUAGGACUUGAGAGAAUAUUUGUUCUACAUUUAGCUCCUCGUUGGGUUCGACACUCUUACUUAUCGAAAGAGGCUACAAUUGAUCCCGUAUACUUGCGGGUUAUCAAGACCUUUUUCUGGCACCGUUGCCGGGGAGUCAUAGCGUGGGGUGAAUAUUCUCGUGUGUGCUUGUUUGCUUUAACACUAAGUAAUCUUUAUUUGUUUUUCUAAGUUGUUCUUUAUCUUUAGUUAUGGAUAUGGAACACGCAAUACCAAAAAAAUUAGGUGUACUUGCUACUUAUGGAGAUGGGGAACCUCCUAAAACCCUCGAUGAUCAUCAUGUGAGAAAUAUUUUGUACUAUUUUGAUAAUCCUGAGAAAACCCCAUUCAACUUUAUAAUGGGAGUAACGUUGGAUCAACGUGAAUAUUUUAGGGAUUAUCACUUGACACAAAAAGGGAAACUAUCAUGGGAUCAAAUUAAUAUGUUGCAUUGGUAUGCUCGGGAUCUAUGCUUGAGAUAUGAUAUUACUUGUUGAUCUAGGAUGAAGGCUCCACACCUUCCCUUUUCAUGCAAAUUUAAUGAUAAUGAAACCUUAGCUUCUUAUGCUAAUGGUAUAUAUCAUUACUAUGAUGUUGAACGAAUUGAAGAAUUUGUUGCUUUUAAGGCUGCUUAUGAAAUUGAAUCUUUGUUUGAAAAGUAUGAAGCUUUAGAUGAUGAUGUUUAUAGGCCUGAAAAUUUUGCUAUAUUGAAAUAUUGCUAUGAAAAUUAUGAAUACAAUUACAAUAUUAAUGCAUUUAUUGAGAAAGUCUCCGCUGUCCAAGAAGAGACUAAUAUUUUGUAGGAACCUAUGGAAGAAGAAAUUGAUGAAACUAUGAGCUCAUUGGAUGAAAAAGAUGAUGAGGAGAGCGAAGAACAAAAGGAGGAAGAGCGGAUUGAUCACCCGUGCCCACCUUCUAAUGAGAGUAACUCUUCAACUCAUACAUUGUUUAAUUCCCCUUCAUGCUUACCGAAGGAUGAUUGCUAUGAUCUCGUUGAUUCUCUUGAAAUAUCCCUUUUUGAUGAUGCUUGCUAUGCUUGUGGCCAAGAUGCCAAUAUGAAUUAUGCUUAUGGAGAUGAACUUUCUAUAGUUCCUUAUGUGAAACAUGAAAUUGUUGCUAUUGCACCCAAGCUUGAUAGUCCUAUUAUCUUUUUGAAUUCUCCCGACUACACUAUAUCGGAGAAGUUUGCGCUUAGUAAGGAUUAUAUUGAUGGGUUGCCUUCUACCAUUGCACAUGAUGAUUUUGAUAGAUAUAAUAUGCAUGUGCUUGCUGCUCCUACUUGCAAUUAUUAUGAGAGAGGAACUAUAUCUCCACCUCUCUAUGUUUCCAAUAUGAUAGAAUUGCAAGAAACUGUUUAUACUAUGCAUUGGCCUUUACUUGGUGUGUAUGAAUUGUUCUUUUAUGACACGCCGAUGCAUAGGAAGAGAGUUAGACUUCGUCAUUGCUUGAUAUAUGUUACUUUGUGCUCACUACUAAAUUACAAAUCAUUGUUAAUUAAAAUUGGCUUUGAUAUACCUUGGGAUCCGGGUGGAUUCAUUACUUGAGCACUAUAUGCCUAGCUUAAUGGCUUUAAAGAAAGCGCUGCCAGGGAGACAACCCGGAAGUUUUAGAGAGUCAUUUAUUUCUGUUGACAGCUUUUAUAUAGUAUAAAAACAAAAAAAAAUAAAGAGGGGAAACUAAAAACUUUUCAAAAAGGAAAGUGAAAGUGAGAGAGACAAGCAUUGUUGAAGUGGGAGCUAGCCUUGAACUUUGUUCAUGCUCACGGAAACUUUGUGAAUCUUAAUUACUUAAAAUUUUCAUCAAAAAUAAUUAUCCCCUUGUACAAUUCCUUUGUAUUAUAAAAAUAAUGUGCCAAGGUUUGCCUUUAGGAUGUUUACAAUGCUUGUUGGUUUGUACGAUGCUGGACAAAAACUUUGGCUGUAGUGCGCGAUUUUACAUUUUUUACUGGAACAUCAAAUGGUUCUGAUUCCUUUAGCACUAUCUUGCCGUGCAAAUUGUUUAUUGUUCCUAAUUUGGGUAGAAUUUUUGGGGUACCAGAAGUAUGGUGAAUGUUCAGAUUCCUACAGACUGUUCUGUUUUUGACAGAUUCUGUUUUUGAUGCAUAGUUUGCUUGUUUUGAUGAAUCUAUCAAUUUAUAUCAGUGGAUUAAGCAAUGGAAAAGCUAUAUUACAGUAGACACAAUGCACAAACAAAAUAUGAAUUGGUUUGCUACAGUACUUAGAGUGGUGAUUUGCUUUAUUAUACUAACGGAUCUUACCGAGUUUUCUGUUGAAGUUUUGUGUGGAUGAAGUGUCUAACUGAGGAGGUCUCGAUAUGAGGAAGAGGAAGAGAGGCAAGAGAUCAAGCUUGGGGAUGCCCGAGGCAUCCCAAGUAAAUAUUCAAGGAGACUCAAGCGUCUAAGCUUGGGGAUGCCCCAGAAGGCAUCCCCUCUUUCUUCAACAAGUAUCAGUAUGUUUUCGGAUUCGUUCCGUUCAUGCAUUAUGUGCAAGUCUUGGAGCGUCUUUUGCAUUUAGUUUUCAUUUUUAUUUUAUGCACCAUUCUGGUAUGAGAUAGUCCUUGGUUGAUUUAUAUAAUGCUCAUUCCACCUCACUUAAAUCUUUUGAGUAUGGCUUUAUAGAAUGCUUCAUGUGCUUCGCUUAUAUUAUUUGAAGUUUGGAUUGCCUGUUUCUCUUCAUAUAGAAAACCGCCAUUUGUAGAAUGCCCUUUUGCUUCACUUACAUUUGUUAGAGCGUGGGCAUAUCUUUUGUAGAAAGAAUUAAACUCUCUUGAUUCACUUAUAUCUAUUUCGAGAGAUGACAGGAAUUGGUCAUUCACUUGGUUAGUCAUAAAAUCCUACAUAAACUUGUAGAUCGCUGAAUAUGAUAUGUUUGAUUCCUUGCAAUAGUUUUGCGAUUUAGUGAUGAUAAUAUGUGGGAGGUACUAGUAGAUGUUUGUGUUCAUUAAUGAUGUUGGUGUUAAGGUUUGUGAUUCCCGAAGCAUGCACGUAUGGUCUACUAACUAUGUAACCAAAUUGGCGUGCAUUGUAUUUGGAUUGUUUAUCUUUGCGUGAAGGUCAGGGGCGCGCGAUGGUUAACUCCUACCAACCUCCCCCCUAGGAGUAUGCGUGUAGUACUUUGUUUCAAGGGCUUUUAAAUUUUUGCAAUAAGUAUGUGAGUUCUUUAUGACUAAUGUUGAGUCCAUGGAUUAUACACACUUUUACCUUUCCAUCAUUACUAGCCUCUUCGGUACCGUGCAAUGCCCUUUCUCACCUUGAGUGUUGGUGCAAACUUCGCCGGUGCAUCCAAACCCCGUGAUAUGAUACGCCCUAUCACACAUAAGCCUCCUUAUAUCUUCCUCAAAACAGCCACCAUACCUACCUAUCAUGGCAUUUCCAUAACUAUUCCAAGAUAUAUUGCCAUGCAACUUCCAUCAUCAUCAUAUACAUGACUUGAGCAUUCAUUGUCAUAUUGCUUUGCAUGAUCGUAAGAUAGCUAGCAUUAUGUUUUCAUGGCUUGUCCGUUUUUUGAUGUCAUUGCUAUGCUAGAUCAUUGCACAUCCCAGUACACCACCGGAAGCAUUCAUAUAGAGUCAUAUAUUUGUUCUAGUAUCAAGUUCUAAUAUUGAGUUGUAAGUAAAUAAAGUGUGAUGAUCAUCAUUAUAGAGCAUUGCCCCAUGAAAAAAGGAAAAGAAAAAAGAAAAAAAGGGGACAGGCCAAAGAAGCCUAAAUAAAAGGGGUCAAAGAAGCCCACCCAAAAAAAGAAAAAAAGAAAAAGAAAAAAGGGCAAUGUUACUAUCCUUUUACCACACUUGUGCUUCAAAGUAGCACCAUGUUCUUCAUAUAGAGAGUCUCCUAUAGUGGUAAUUUUAACUAUAGAACUUGGCUUGUAUAUUCCAACGAUGGGCUUCCUCAAAUGCCCUAGGUCUUCAUGAGCAAGCAAGUUGGAUGCACACCCACUUAGUUUUUAGUUUGAGCUUUCAUACACUUAUAGCUCUAGUGCAUCCGUUGCAUGGCAAUCCCUACUGCUCGCAUUGACAUCAAUUGAUGGGCAUCUCCAUAGCCCAUUGAUUAGCCGCAUCAAUGUGAGACUUUCUCCCUUUUUGUCUUCUCCACAUAACCUCCACCAUCAUAUUCUAUUCCACCCAUAGUGCUAUAUCCAUGGCUCACGCUCAUGUAUUGCGUGAAGGUUGAAAAAGUUUGAGAAUACUAAAGUAUGAAACAAUUGCUUGGCUGACACCGGGAUAGGCAUGAGGGGUACCUUGUGUUAAGAAAAGGGAGCAUACAAGACUAUAUGAUUUUUUAGGGAUAAUGUUCUGAAGCAUUGAUAUUUUGAAAGACAUGAUUGUUUGUUGGGAUGUCCUAAGUAUUAUUGUUUUUAUGUCAAAUGAUAGACUAUUGCUUUGAAUCACUCGUGUCUUAAUAUUCAUGCCAUGAUUAGACAUAUGAUCAAGAUUAUGCUAGGUAGCAUUCCACAUCAAAAAUUAUCUUUUUUAUCAUUUACCUACUCGAGGACGAGCAGGAAUUAAGCUUGGAGAUGCUAAUACGUCUCCGUUGUAUCUAUAAUUUUUGAUUGUUCCAUGCCAAUAUUAUUCAACUUUCAUAUACUUUUGGCAACUUUUUAUUCUAUUUUUCGGACUAACAUAUGGAUCCAGUUCCCAGUGCCAGUUCCUGUUUGUUGCAUGUUUUAUGUUUCGCAGAAACCCAAUAUCAAACGGAAUCCAAACGGGAUAAAAACGGACGGAGAAUUAUUUUGGAAUAUUUGGGAUUUUCUGGAGGAAGGAUCAACGCGAAACGGUGUCCGAGGUGGCCAGGAGAUAGGGGGGUGCCCCUCCCCCCGUGGGCACACCUGACACUCUCCUGGGCCACCCGUAAGGCGGUUGAAGCUCUUCUUUUGCCGCAAGAAAGCUAAUUUUAUGAGAAAAAUCUGGGCAAAAGAUUCACCCCAAUCGGAGUUACGGAUCUCCGAAUAUAAAAGAAACGGUGAAGGGGCAGAAUCUGAGAACGCAAAAACAGAGAGAGACACAGAGAUAGAUCCAAUCUCGGAGGGGCUCUCGCCCCUCCCAUGCCAUGGGAGCCAAGGACCAGAGGGGGAACCCUUCUCCCAUCUAAGGAGGAGGUCAAGGAAGAAGAAGAAGAAGGGGGGCUCUCUCCCCCUUGCUUCCGAUGGCGUCGGAGCGCUGCCGGGGGCCAUCAUCAUCACCGCGAUCUUAACCAACACCUCCGCCAUAUUCACCAACAUCUCCAUCACCUUCCCCCAUCUAUAUUCAGCGGUCCACUCUCCCGCAACCCGUUGUACCCUCUACUUGAACAUGGUGCUUUAUGCUUCAUAUUAUUAUCCAAUGAUGUGUUGCCAUCCUAUGAUGUUUGAGUAGAUUUUCGUUGUCCUAUCGGUGAUUGAUGAAUUGCUAUGAUUGGUAUGAAUUACAUGUUUUAUUAUUGGUGCUGUCCUAUUGUGCCCUCCGUGUCGCGCAAGCAUGAGGGAUCCCCGCUAUAGGGUUUGCAAUAUGUUCAUGAUUUGCUUAUGGUGGGUGGCGUGAGUGACAGAAGCACAGACCCGACUAAGUAGGUUGUUUGUGUAUGGGAUAAAGGGGACUUGAUGCUUUAAUUCUAUGGUUGGGUUUUACCUUAAUGAUCUUUAGUAGUUGCGGAUGCUUGCUAGAGUUCCAAUCAUAAGUGCAUAUGAUCCAAGAAGAGAAAGUAUGUUAGCUUAUGCCUCUCCCUCAAAUAAAAUUCCAAUAGUGAUUACCGGUCUAUUAACGUAGUCGAUUGCUUAGGGACACUUUCACAACUCCUACCACCACUUUUCCACACUCGCUAAAUUUACUUUAUUGCAUCUUUAUCUAAACAGCCCCUACUUUUUAUUUACUCUUUCUUUAUAUUCUUGCAAACCUAUCCAACAACACCUACAAAGUACUUCUAGUUUCAUACUUGUUUUAGGUAAAGCGAACACUAAGCGUGCAUAGAGUCAUAUCAGUGUCAGAUAGGACUUGAGAGAAUAUUUGUUCUACCUUUAGCUCCUCGUUUGGUUCGACACUCUUACUUAUCGAAAGAGGCUACAAUUGAUCCCGUAUACUUGUGGGUUAUCACCAGGUUCGGGCCCUCUCGAUGGAGGUAAUACCCUACUUCCUGCUUGAUUGAUCUUGAUGAUAUGAGUAUUACAAGAGUUGAUCUACCAUGAGAUGGUAGAGGCUAAACCCUAGAAGCUAGCCUAUGAUUAUGAUUGUUGUUCUCCUAUGGACUAAGCCCUCCGGUUUAUAUAGACGCCAGAGGGGGGCUAGGGUUACACAAAGUCGGUUACAAAGAAGGAGUUCUACAUAUCCGAAUAGCCAAGCUUGCCUUCCAUGCAAAGGAGAGUCCCACCCGGACACAGGACGAAGUCUUCAAUCUUGUAUCUUCAUAGUCCAACAGUCCGACAUAAGUACAUAGUCCGGCUGUCCGAGGACCCCCUAAUCCUAGACUCCCUCAGUAGCCCCUGAACCAAGCUUCAAUGACGAUGAGUCCGGCGCGCAGAUUGUCUACGGCAUUGCAAGGCGGGUUCCUUCUCCGAAUACUCGAAGGUAGAUUUUGAACACAUGAAUCGUGUCCAGCUCUGCAAAACAAAUUCCACGUACCACCGUAGAGAGGACAAUAUUCCACAAAUCUAAUCUGCUGACAACUUUUCAUAGCGUGACAUCACGUCGCGGCCCGGUCAUUAUACGAGCCGUUUUUCUCAACCUGCUACUACACGUCUCGUGAGGCAGUUUUAUUGGCACGUCUUGUCGAAGCAGAGAUCGUGUUCCCCUUAUCACGGGAUUCUCAUUAAUACGAGCGCGGGUAACCCUUCCGUGCCGUUAGUAUGACUCCUCGGUUUAGGCAAGUUCCAAACGGCCACGCGGAGGACGCUUGAUAUUCACCCUCUUUACAAAGAUGUCAAGACCUGUCCUUUUCUUUCCAUGCCCGAUCCUUCCCUUCCCCUUCCUCGAGUUCCAACACCCAAGUUUUAGUCUAAGUGCUCCAGACCUUCAACUAUGUCCGGAUCCAACCUUCAAGGCCAUUGGAUGGCCUCUUCCAUCACAGAGGAGGACAUCAAGAAGCUUAGGGGGGCUAGGUAUCUGACCGCUGAAAUCCUUCACAGGCUACCUACUCAAGGGCAGGUUAUCCCCACUCCCGAACCCAACAAGAGUGUCGUAUUCAUCUCCCACUUCCUCCGAGCGCUAGGCUUUAGUCUUGAUCCCUUCGUUAAAGGGCUCAUGUUCUAUUACGGGCUAGAUUUUCAUGAUCUAGCUCCAGAUUCCUUCCUUCACAUCUCGUCGUUUAUCGUCGUGUGUGAGGCCUUCCUUCGCAUUACCCCACACUUCGGCUUAUGGCUCAAGACCUUCAAUGUGAAGCCAAAGAUGAUCGACGGGCGACACGCGAAGUGCGGAGGCGCUAUAAUAAGCAAAGGUGCCGAUGCCUUAUGGCCAAAGGGUUCCUUCCCGGAGGUGUCCGACCUAUGGUAACAGGAGUGGUUUUACAUCACAGAACCCGAGGUACAAAGUGGGCAGCCACCCCGGCCUUGCGCUCUGCCCCUCCGCCAGAACUGACAUCAUGGGUCAACAAGGGGCUGGACUGGGGACCAGUUAAUGACGUGCUGACAUUGUAAAGCCGCAUCGGAGAUAUCCUCAAGAGGGAUAUCAGUAUCAUCAAAGUAAUUCAAGUAAUGUUAGUUCGUCGGGUCCUGCCAUGCCAAUGUCGAUCUCUCCGCAUGUGGGAGUUCAACCCGGAAGGACCGCGAACCAUUCAACACUUCUUCGGCAUGACGCUCGAAGGGAUGUAUCGAUUAUUCUUCGGAUCAUGAGUAAAGUGUCCGGACACAACAUAGGAUGCGGGUCUCAACUGCAACCGUCCAGAUACCCAAGUAAGUAACUCCGCGACCGAACAUGCUGUCAUUAUAUUUGUCACAACAUUAUUCUGAAAAAUCACCCUUGGCUAGGAUUGGAUAAGAAAGGCGGAGAGAUCAGGUGUUCGGCCCCUGUUCCCGAGGGCUCACCGGAUCUUGUACUAACCAGGAUGCUGACUCGUGCACCUUAUCAAGUGCCAUCGGGGGAGAACGAGGGGAGGAAUAGGGAAGCCAAAAGCGGGCUUCAUGCUGGGGGUACAUUACGAAUUCUAACCGGGGGAAUUAGUGCCCCCGAGUUUGAGGAUGAUCGAGGAGGAGAAUCUAGAAUCCCCUCUCCCCACGGGAAGAAAAUGAUCGCCCAUGAAGACUUGGAAAUGGAGGUUUCCAAACGGGGGAAGAAACCUUCCCCAGGGGGUCCUGCCCCGGAGGGCACCCUUACCGCACAGCACCCACAAGGGGGCCAGCCGUCAACCGAGCCGUGAGUGAACAAAGGCACUUUAGUAAGCAUGCCCUGCUCUUUUCCUGAGAAUAACAACCGAGACAUAUGUUUUGUAGUCCGGCUAGCCCUUCUCAACAAUGUUCGUCCUCGGGGGAUCUUCUUCCAGAGAUGAUGGAGAGCGAAACGCCCCCCUGCUUCCCCACCACAUGAGGAGGACGACCUUGAGGUGUCAUCCCGGAGGAUCUCUCCUGAUCCGGAAAGGCUAGAGGGUAACUCUUCGGCCGCCCGAAGUCCGGAGUUCUCGGCUCCUAAGGAGAGCAACAGGAAAAGCCCGGGAUUUUCCGGUGUACAUCCGGACAAAUUGAUGGGUCUUCUGGAGCAAGAGGCUAUCUCAGAGGCACAUCAUACCUUAAUGGGUACGGUGGUUGAGAGGAUUUCAGCCGCAAAAAGCGGAUUGAAUGAAGCUUUUACAAGCCUGCUAGGAGGCUUUGAGGUACGCAAAGUGAUAUAUAUAUAUAUAUUUGACUGUACCGCACAUGCAAGGUGUGCUUUGUAUAGAUAGUAGCCCCUGAGACUCUGGUUGCCGUCCAGAUGAGGCGAGCAGAGGAUCAUAGUCUCACGUAAUGAUAGUGCUGCUUUCGUGCGCAGGUAGCUGCACAUCGGGCGGCUGACCGGACUGCUGAAUAUGCCGAAUUGAGGCGGCAACUUGACAUGGCGGAUGCGGACAUCACGCUUGUGAACAAGCGGCUUGACGAGGCUCAGGGUAUGUAUAUUCGAGUGGUCAGCAAAUAUUAAGAAGAGCAUGAUGCUAGUAUUUAUAGUAUGCUUUGACUUCAAAUGGAGCUGCCGCCGUGGAGACCCUUCGGGCAGAACUUGCCCGAGCCAAGGAGCAAGCCAGGAAAAGUGAUGCGGGCGCCCUAAAGGCAGCCGAAGAAUUAAAAGCCGAACAGGCUGCUCAUUGCCAAAGUGAACUUAAAAUAGUCAACAUGGCUAUUGAGCUACAAAACUCCGUCAGCCGAUAUGAGCUUCUCAAAAGGGAAAACCAAAUGAAAACGGCUGACCUAGAGAAGGCCUUGCAAGAAGCAAAGGAAACUCGCUCUAAAAUCAGAGCGGCGCGGGAGGAGCUUCGGCAAGCCGGUGAUAUCGCGGCUGGGAGGCCCUUUUUAUUGCGAACGAAGUUCGGCGAUCCGAAAUAUGCCCCUCUUGAUCAAUUGUGGAGUUCUGCAGACACAUACUUGGAUUUAACAAAGAGUCCUGCUGACGCGACGGAGUUUUUCAAAGAUCGGAAAGAUCAUGAGGUGGAAAGAUUGUUCUGGUCGCAGUUCAGUGCUCCAAAGCGGCUGAUGCUGUUGAAUGAGCAAAUGGCUGAGUGGGCCGAGCUCCAUAGGUUAUCCGGGCUUGCCAUGAAGGCUGUCGUGGAUCAUUUGUGACCGAAGGAGCCGAGCCCGGGUAGUUAUUUUGGUUUGGUGCAAUGAUUUCUUCGUGCUGUGUGGCAUAUCGAUGCUGUCAAGAGGUCGACGUGCAUAGAGGGUGCACGGAUGGCUCUUGCCCGUAUUAAGACAUAUUGGGCAAACAUGGAGGCCACCGAUAUUGCAACCAGGGGUCCGCCCGGGGUUCAGGACUCGCCCGAGCACUAUUUUGAAGAAGUCCUAGAAGGUGCCCGUUUAAUAGAGGCUCAGUGCUCAAAGAAUACCAUAUUCCAGUGACAUGUAUCUUGAUUGUAAAAACAAUGCUUUUGAUAAUAAAGGCUAUAUUUAUAUUUUUGCCCGUAAAGUAUUGUAGUGCCUCCUGUGCAGCCGUUUAUGUAUGUAUGUAUAUAACCUAAAAGUUUGCAGUCGUCGACUUCAGCCCCCACACAUAUAAUGCGGGGUGUUCGGCAAAGUGCGUAAUCACACUUGAUCCAACGUCUUGGUCCGUUGAGGAGGUGAUAGCGUGGUGAACAAGGCAAUCAGACUAUAUAGCUUUAACACUUUCACUUAGCCAUAGGAGUUUGAUGGUGGGGCUACUAUAUAGCCCCUUGUAUGUCCAUGCUCAUUCGAAUACGGUGCGUGUACAUACGUGACCGGGAAACCGGUCCUUCGUUAAUGCGGAGGAAUCACGGAGAUUCCGCUGGGUCAUUGAGUGGUUGACCAGUCUCUCGCUUUAUCAUGACAACCGGUUUUCGGCUUUCUCCAUUGAUGUGACGCCCGAAGAGUUAUGCUACAGUAACCCUCUACUAAUGAUGCCACAUCACCACGGUUACUGUUGUUAGUCUCGCGGUGAGUCAAGUCCCAUUCAAAUUCAAAUAACAAGUGAAACUCUAAACUUCUCAAACAUUAAUUCUAAAAUGUUCAUGAUAUGGCAAAUAAUCCCUAAAUAAUUUUGGUGGUGGAAGCAACCUUUUUCAAAAUGUUUGAAUGCCGUAAACUAAAUAAAAACAGUGGCUGAAAUAACAAUUUAAUUACUUUUUAAAUUAUGAAAAUAUUAAACUAACUUAUUUUGGGUCCAAACCAGGUUUGGUAAUGGCCUAUAUUAAUGAUACUAAUUUAGCUGCUAACUUGGUAUUUUAUAAAACUAAAAUAAAUGGAACUAUAAUAGAAAACAAAAAAAGAAAAUAAAUAAAAACAAUGACUAAAACAAAAAAGGGGGAAAAAGGGAAAACCCCCUGGCCAACUGGGCCAACAGCCCAGCCGGCCAUCCCACACCGGCCCAGCCGCCCCACCCCCCCUGCCGUUCCCUUCCCUGUUCCCCCGACCAGGGUCGGAACAGGGGCACGUCCCCGCCCGACCACCUCGUCAUCGACGGCGGGCGGAUAAGAACGCCAUGCCGGCGCCUCCUCGGGUUCUCCUCCCCACUCCACCUCGCGCUCCCUCUCGGCCUCUCUCCCCGCUCCUCAGAUCCGCCCCAUCCGAACGCUCCCAUGGCCAUGGUCGUCGGGUAGCCGAGGCCACCUUCCUUAUCGCACCGCACCGCCGUGUCCAUCAGCUCCACCGACGUCUUCUUCGUCUACCUCGCCACUGGAUCGGAGACGGGAGGCCACCUCGUCGACGCCCGCACCAACUUCUUCCUCCUCGGCCGCCACCGCCAUCGCCGUUGAUUUCGGCUACCCCGCGCCUCCCCCGAGCACACGCUUGCACAACUACAGGCUCGCGGUGAGCCUCCGCUUCCUUCCCCCUCUCUGUUUCAUCCCGCUGACGAGCUCCUGGGGACCCAGGGAAGCUCGUGUGCCCCGUAAUUGCCGAUCCGUCGAGCUCCGCCCUUUGACCGUCACCAUUGUCGCGCCUGACUCCGGUCACCGCUCCCUCCCCAUGCCCGCGCUCCGCUCGCGUCCUAGCGGCCCCGCACGCCACACGCGUCGGCCGCGCCCAUGACCCCCCAGGUCGCGCGCCCUGCCGCCCUCUUGGAUGCAGGCACGCCCGCAGCCACCGCACUUGACCUGUGCCUUCCCUCCUGGCUGCUUGCCUCGUCGCCGCAUGCCGCGCGCCCCUCGGCUCCGCUGCCCCCUGCCGCGCCCCAACUUCCCGUACCCCUCGGAGGCCACCUGCACCACAGGCCGCGUCGGCCUGCCUCGCCUGCUGUUGUUGCUCCCGCCGCGCACGCGCCGUCGCUGCUCAUCGUGUCCGACCCGCCCCUGACCUCGCUCGCCUCGGCUCCGCCGCAUCCCGCUCCUCCUCACCGGGCCUUUCCCCUUCGCGUCACUCCCUUGCUGCUCGCUGCUCGCUGCCUACAACUGCUGCUCUGCGUGUGCUGCUGCUUCAGUUACUGUAGCGCUCGCUAGCUUUUCUAAUUCUAUGAUGAGCCCUUUAGACAGCCCAGGGAAGCUCGUGUGCCCCGUAAUCGCCGAUCCGUCGAGCUCCGCCCUUUGACCGUCACCGUUGUCGCGCCUGACUCCGGUCACCGCUCCCUCCCCAUGCCCGCGCUCCGCUCGCGUCCUAGCGGCCCCGCACGCCACACGCGUCGGCCGCGCCCAUGACCCCCCAGGUCGCGCGCCCUGCCGCCCUCUUGGAUGCAGGCACGCCCGCAGCCACCGCACUUGACCUGUGCCUUCCCUCCUGGCUGCUUGCCUCGUCGCCGCACGCCGCGCGCCCCUCGGCUCCGCUGCCCCCUGCCGCGCCCCAACUUCCCGUACCCCUCGGAGGCCACCUGCACCACAGGCCGCGUCGGCCUGCCUCGCCUGCUGUUGUUGCUCCCGCCGCGCACGCGCCGUCGCUGCUCAUCGUGUCCGACCCGCCCCUGACCUCGCUCGCCUCGGCUCCGCCGCAUCCCGCUCCUCCUCACCGGGCCUUUCCCCUUCGCGUCACUCCCUUGCUGCUCGCUGCUCGCUGCCUACAACUGUUGCUCUGCGUGUGCUGCUGCUUCAGUUACUGUAGCGCUCGCUAGCUUUUCUAAUUCUAUGAUGAGUAGCCCUUUAGACAGCCCUUAAACUCUAGCAAAACAAUUGUUAACAGGACUAAAAAAAAUAUGGAAAGAUAGUAUACUUGACAAACUCUAUUUUAUCCCACUGGAUCAAAUACAUUUGAUGUAUGGUUUAAGUUCUAUGAAAAUCACAAAAUGCUAUCUUCUGAUAACAGCAAACAGAUUUAACCUCUAGCAUUGUGUGUUGUGUGUUGUGUGUGUAUGCAGCGUGGUGUGUGUGAGUGUGCCGUGUGAGUGCACGUGUGUGUGAGUGUGUGUGCGGGCCGGCCCAAACUAGUUAAGUCUAAUUUAAUUAGCUAGAUUAGUCCUAGGAUUAAUUCUACUGUUUAGUUAGUACUAUCAGUUUAGUGCUAGAUUAGCCUAAUAGCCCAUAACAUGUGGCCCCAUCCUCAUCUAGACACUAAUUUAAUAUAGAUGCCCAUGACAUGUGGGCCAUACCUCAUCUUUUGACCAGUCAAUGUAAAAUGGUUGACCAGCCCCCCGGGUCCCACUGUCAUACACAUAGGUUAGGGUAACACUAUGUAACAAAUGCACAUUCUGUCUUCAAUUCAAUUUAAACAAUUUCAAAAAAUUCAGAAAAUGAAUUAAAACUUUCAAAAUUAAUAUAGAAUAAAACGUAGCUCGGAUGGAAAAACUUUGUACAUGAAAGUUGCUCAGAACGACGAGACGAAUCCGGAUACGCAGCCCGUUCGUCCGCCACACAUCCCUAGCAUAGCGAACACACAACUUUCCCCCUCCGGUUCAUCUGUCCAAAAACGCGAAACACCAGAAAUACUUUCCCGGAUGUUUCCCCCCUUCGCAAGUAUCACCUAGUACUGCGUUAGGUCACCCCUAGCACCCCGUAUUGCCAUGUUAUACUUUGUGAUGCUUUGAUUGCUCUGUUAUUUAUUGUGUUCCCCCUUCGUUACUUCUUUCCGGUAGACCCAGAGACCGCUGUCGGUACCCCUGUGAUCGACUACAUCGACGAUGAACCCUUCUCUUGCCAGAGCAACCAGGCAAGCCCCCCCUUGGAUUGCCAGAUAUCGCCUAUUCUUCCCUCUACUGCUUGCUUUAGAGUAGUGUAGCAUGUUACUGUUCGAUUAAUCCUAUUCUGUUGCAUAGCCUAUCAUUGUUGCUACAUCUGUUGAUACCUUAUCUGCAUUCCUAAAUGCUUAGUAUAGGAUGCUAGUUUACCAUUAGUGGCCCAAUAUUUUUGUCAGUCUGCCAUGCUAUACUAUCGGGCCGUGAUCACUCGAGAGGUGAUCACGGGUAUAUAUUAUACAUACAUAUACUAUACAGAUGGUGACUAAAGUCGGGUUGGCUCGUUGAGUACCUGCAAGUGAUUUUGAGGGGGCUGGAAGGACAGGUGGUUCCAUCCCGGUAGAGGUGGGCCUGGGUUCCUGACGGCCCCCGACUGUUACUUUGUGGCGGAGCGACAGGGCAGGUUGAGACCACGUAGGAGAGAGGUGGGCCUGGCCCUGGUCGGCGUCCGCAGUUACUUCAAAAUAACACACUUAACGAGAUCUUGGUAUUUGAUCUGAGUCUGGCCACUGACCUAUACGCACUAACCAACUACGCGGGAAAGAUAUGGGUACUCGACAUCGUGGUAUCAACCGAAGCCUUCGUGAUGUCAACGACUGAGCGGCGCGCGCCGGAUUGGAACGUAAGCCUGCUCUUGUAUUAAGGGGGCUAGUUUUGCUUCUGGCCCCAUUCGCAACAUGCAGGUGUGCAAUGGGCGAUGGGCCCAGACCCUUGCGCGCAUAGGAUUUAGACCGGCGUCCUGACCUCUCUGUUGUGUCUAGGUGGGGCUGCGACGUGUUGAUCUUCCGAGGCCGGGCAUGACCCAGGAAAGUGUGUCCGGCCAAAUGGGAUCGAGCGUGUUGGGUUAUGUGGUGCACCCCUGCAGGGAAGUUUAUCUAUUCGAAUAGCCGUGUCCCUCGGUAAAAGGACGACCCGGAGUUGUACCUUGACCUUAUGACAACUAGAACCGGAUACUUAAUAAAACACACCAGACAAGUUCCACAGACAACCCGGUGAUCGCUUUUCCACAGGGCGACGAGGGGAGGAUCGCCGGGUAGGAUUAUGCUAUGCGAUGCUACUUGGAGGACUGCAAUCUACUCUUUUUUACAUGCCGCAAGACAGAGGCUGCCAGAAGCGUAGUCUUCGAUAGGACUAGCUAUCCCCCUCUUAUUCUGGCAUUCUGCAGUUCAGUCCACCGAUAUUGCCUCUUUACACAUAUACCCAUGCAUGUGUAGUAUAGAUCCUUGCUUGCGAGUACUUUGGAUGAGUACUCAUGGUUGCUUUUCUCCCCCUUUCCCCCCUUUCCUUUCUUCCUGGUUGUCACAACCAGAUGCUAGAGCCCAGGAGCCAGAUGCCACCGUC
RNAcentral lists this long non-coding RNA (42383 nucleotides) under Triticum aestivum (bread wheat). Its description in RNAcentral is "long non-coding RNA (TAES_LNC002999)". The record is from RNAcentral. Lineage: Eukaryota; Viridiplantae; Streptophyta; Magnoliopsida; Poales; Poaceae.